This 251-nucleotide ribosomal RNA is filed under the name uncultured prokaryote. Its description in RNAcentral is "partial 16S ribosomal RNA". The stretch from base 43 to 251 matches the Rfam family "Bacterial small subunit ribosomal RNA", at positions 567 to 775 of the family's 1533-position model. The record is from RNAcentral.
CCUUCUUUUUCUCUCUUUCCUCUUCCUUCCUUUUCUUCCCUCUUUCUCCUUCUUCUUUUUCCUCCAGAUGUUAAAUCCCCGGGCUCAACCUGGGAACUGCAUUUGUGACUGCAAGGCUAGAGUGCGUCAGAGGGAGGUGGAAUUCCGCGUGUAGCAGUGAAAUGCGAAGAGAUGCGGAGGAACACCGAUGGCGAAGGCAGCCUCCUGGGAUGACACUGACGCUCAUGCACGAAAGCGUGGGGAGCAAACAG